CCUACGGGGGGCUGCAGUCGAGAAUCAUUCACAAUGGGGGAAACUCUGAUGGAGCGACGCCGCGUGGAGGAAUGAAGGUCUUCGGAUUGUAAACCCCUGUCAUGUGGGAGCAAAUUAAAAAGAUAGUACCACAAGAGGAAGAGACGGCUAACUCUGUGCCAGCAGCCGCGGUAAUACAGAGGUCUCAAGCGUUGUUCGGAAUCACUGGGCGUAAAGCGUGCGUAGGCUGUUUCGUAAGUCGUGUGUGAAAGGUGCGGGCUCAACCCGCGGACGGCACAUGAUACUGCGAGGCUAGAGUAAUGGAGGGGGAACCGGAAUUCUCGGUGUAGCGGUGAAAUGCGUAGAUAUCGGGAGGAACACUCGUGGCGAAGGCGGGUUCCUGGACAUUAACUGACGCUGAGGCACGAAGGCCAGGGGAGCGAAAGGGAUUAGAUACCCUUGUAGUC
This 446-nucleotide ribosomal RNA is filed under the name uncultured bacterium. RNAcentral describes it as "partial 16S ribosomal RNA". It matches the Rfam family "Bacterial small subunit ribosomal RNA", at positions 338 to 795 of the family's 1533-position model. The record is from RNAcentral.